Molecule: long non-coding RNA, 1517 nt
Filed under: Bos grunniens (domestic yak)
Lineage: Eukaryota; Metazoa; Chordata; Mammalia; Artiodactyla; Bovidae
Description: lncRNA (ENSBGRG00000018808.1)
Source: RNAcentral
CUCUGCUGCCGGCCCGCCCAGUGCUGUCUCCUCCAUCCUGGGCACCUGGCUGAACCAGUACUCAGAGGACUUCUGUCAGCCCCCCGACUUCCCCUGCCUCAGGCAGCUGGUGGCCUACGUACAGCUCAACAUGCCCGGCUCCUGGCCCAGCUAGAGCACGCGGACCUCGACGAGGCAGAGCCGGAGGCUCCAGCGUCAGCUCCAUCCGGAAUCAGAGGUGACAGGAGCCAGGUGCAGGGGCAGAAAGGUCAAGGCAGCCCCAGAGCCUGCGUCCGCCUUCAGCUCGAGCGCUCCCCCUACUGGCGGCUCCAGAGCGGCUCCGACACCAGCACCGGUUCCAUUAGCAGCUCCGAACGAGAAGAGGAGGCCGCUCAGGUCCUCCCCGGGACCCGCCCCCGGGGCCAGCUCCCAGCCCACACCUUCCACCUGCUUCCCAAACAGGACUUUUCUUCCCCGCUCCCCCGUGAUGGGGCUUUUUGUCUUCAGUUCAGUUCAGUGGCUCAGUCGUGUCCGACUCUUUGCGACCCCGUGGACUGCAGCAGGCCAGGCCUCCCUGUCCAUCACCAACUCCCGGAGUUUACCCAAACUCUUGUUCACUGAGUCGGUGAUGCCAUCCAAGCAUCUCAUCCUCUGUCGUCCCCUUCUCCCGCCUUCAGUCUUUCCCAGCAUCAGGGUCUUUUCCAGUGAGUCAGCUCUUUGCAUCUUUUUGUCUUGGGGCUUCUUUUUUUUCCUCUCUACACUCUUAUAUUAGAUGAUUUAGAAUAUUCAAAUAUAAUAGUAUUUCAGCCGUCAUCAUUUUGAGUCGUACAGUUCAUGAGCAUUAAGUACCUUCAUGAUGCUGUAUGGCUGCCACUGCUCUCUCGGUGGAGAACAUCUCACCCCCCGAAAGGGAACCCUGUGCCCAAAGCGCUCACUCUCCUUUCCUCCUUCCUCCAGCCCCUGGCCACACCUAAUCUGUUUCUUUACCUAUUCUAGAUAUUUCCUAUCAAUGGAAUCAUAUAGUAAAUGUCUUUUUGUGUCUUCCUGCAUCUUUGAAGAAAGACUAAUUUUUGGUUUAUGUCGUUAUUUGAAAAAAAAAAAAAGCACAUUUGAUUUGCAAGGGAAAUCCCAGAUGGAUUAAAGCACUGUUAGUAAAUUUGUGCAUAACUUCAGGGUAGAGAUCCCUGUACUGAGUGUGACACCAGAGUUAGAAGUCAUAAGGAAAACGGCUGACUGUUCCUGUGGCAAAAACAAACCAAAAAAAAAAAUGCAGAAAGUGGAAAGAUAAAUCACAAAUGCUAUCUGCUUAGUCGCUCAGGCAUGUCCAACUCUUUGUGACCUCGUGGACUGUAGCCCACCAGGCUCCUCUGUCCACGGGAUUCUCCAGGCAAGAAGAGUGGAGUGAGUUGCCAUGCCCUCCUCCAGGGGCAUCUUCCCAACCCAGGGAUCCAACCCAGGGCUCCCGCAUUUCGGGUGGAUUCUUUACCAUCUGAGCCACCAGGGAAGCCCCCAUGUCCCAGGGAAAUGCUUAACACCUC